CGGCCCGGCUGAGUUUUCUCCGCCUUUGCCUUCUCGCUUGGCUCGUCUAACGGCCAAGGCUUCCAGAUUUCGGGCCCGGCCUGCAAAGUGAGGCCUCAGGCUGGGGUUGGCGGGCCCGUGGUGGGAACCGCGUGGAACCGAAGAGCUCCCACGGGAACAAGGGCAUCACUGACGAAACAGGUACAGAGAGGCUAAGUAACCUGCUCAAUGUGACCGACCUAUUAAGAGGAGCUGGGAAGUUGAACCCAGCAAUCUGGCUCCUGAGCCAUGAAAAAGCUGGAUGUGACGGGGCUGAGAAAGCCAUGUGGCUAGCUGGGCGUGGUGGCUCAUGCCUGUAAUCCCAGCACUUUGGGAGGCUGAGGUAUAAAUUGCCAUAAUUUAAAAGUGGAGAAAUAUGGGAGAAUUAUCACCAAUCCACACAUAGAAGUACUCAAGAGUAACAGAAUGUACACCUAAAAUGGUUUCUGCUAGCCUUUAUUUGCGAAAAUUUACACAAAACCCCCCAAUCCAACAUUUACAAGUGAAUCUGUAUAAAUCCCACAUGCCUCUUUCCCAAACAAAUCGAAAAAUGGCUUUAUGACAGGGGUCCAUGACAAUGGUAAAACAAAGCUCACUUAAACUGCAUCCUUCUCAUUUAUAUUAUACAGACCAUUUUGGAUAAUAUGCCCAAAAACGGAGGAAAGCAGAUAACACCCAUUUUUAAAGCUUAUUUGCUCUUGUAUUAGUCUUUUGUCAAAGUCAAAUACUUUUACUUUUUGGAUAAAACCAAAGUAUAAUAUCAAUUAACUUUUAAAACAAAAGCACAAAAUGCCUCAGUUGAUAGUUUUGGCAUGAGUAAAUGGAGGGGACAUGAAAGAAUGUCAGCUCCUACAAAGCUUAAGUUUAGGGUCACACUUGGGAACAAAAGCAUCAACAAAAUAAAAUAUUCUCUUUUCCUGUCUUUUCUUUGACAUUUUGUCACAUCUGAAGACCAUAACUGAGUAGCUUUCAUUGCUCCUAAAAAGGGGAAAGGCACCGUCAGAAAUAUGAAAGAAAAUCUUGUUAGGCUAAUGGUACAUGAUAGAAUUUCACAUUUAAAAGUUAAGGAUGGAGGCUGGGCGUGGUAGCUCACGCCUGUAAUCCAGCACUUUGGGAGCCAGAGGCGGGCGGAUCACUUGAGGUGAAACCCUGUCUCUACUAAAAAUACAAAAAUUAGCCGGGUGUGGUGGCAUGCACCUAUAGUCCCAGCUACUUGGGAAGCUGAGGCAGGAGAAUUGCUUAAACGUAGGACGUGGAGGUUGCAGUGGGCCGAGAUCAUUCUGUUGCACUCCAGCCUGGGCGUUGCAGCAAGACUCUGUCUCAAAAAAAAAGUCUGAGAAUGGAUCUUAGCCCACUUACUAUUCUCUAUUUGGAUGCAUCCUCUGUAACUUAGCAUAUGUAGUAGUACAUACAGUUAGACUUUCUCAACAUCUGCUGCCCCUGUGGUGAGGAACUGCAGCCAGGUUCUCAGAAGCAGUACCUACCAAUUCUCAACAGCAGAUGGCAAUGUUGUACAAGUUAAUGACAGAACUACUUUAAUGCCACAUAAAGUACAAGGAGUCAAAAGUG
Molecule: long non-coding RNA, 1587 nt
Organism: Cebus imitator (Panamanian white-faced capuchin)
Lineage: Eukaryota; Metazoa; Chordata; Mammalia; Primates; Cebidae
Exons: 3
Source: RefSeq, a predicted model, not a curated record